Long non-coding RNA from Oreochromis aureus, 1602 nucleotides. RefSeq lists it as uncharacterized. The transcript has 3 exons. The record is from RefSeq and is a predicted model, not a curated record. Lineage: Eukaryota; Metazoa; Chordata; Actinopteri; Cichliformes; Cichlidae.
AGCCUGGGACCUUUGGCCCGCUCUGUUCUUUUGGAAGUCAGGAAGCGACGCAGCAGUUGUAGAUGGUGUAUAACUGAACUUCUGGGAGGGGAGAAGUUUAUUCGCUCCUCAGUGGUGUUGCCAGCUUUGUGUCGCCUGUGGUGAGUGAUGGAGGUCUCUGAGGAUGACCCAGCUUACAUGGUUAAAUUCAAGGAAACCUUCAAAGCAGAAACGGAGAAGCGCAAGGAAAAAACUAACAUCAUGUGGCUCAGGGUUGCAACGGCACUGGAUCCUGGGUUUAAGGAUCUGAAGUGUCUGAGCAGACCUGACAGGGCUGAGGUGUGGCGCUCGAUCAGUGCGUUGCUGAGAGAGCGGGAGAGGCCUGCACAGCCUGAACAACCAGCAACAUACGAGCCAUCUAAGAAAAGAUCAGCUCUCAUGCUUGUUUCAGAGUCUUCAUCUGAUAAAGAGGAAGACUGUACUGAGACGUGUGGAGCGAUACAGGACAGAGCCAACUACUGACAUAGAGGACUGUCCCCAGAAAUGGUGGCCCAAACAUGAAGGGGCACACGGAAAAAAGAAGAAGGAAGAAGCUUGGGUUGCUCAGCCUCUGCUAAAAACAACUGGAGAGCAUAAAGAAGCUCAGCCAAACUGUUUUAUUCAAAGACACCAGGAGUGUAAGCUAUAGCCUAACUGCACUUUAUAGGCUUAUGUAUUACACUCCCCACUGUUACAUAUGCAUUUUAUUGUAUGUUUUUUUUAAUGUGUAUUGUGUCUCCCUGUUUUGAACCCACUUGGCCCUAGUAUCUAAUCAAAGAGACUUUGAUAAGUCUGUCUCAUUCCUUUGCCCCAUGAGAGCUGGAAUAAACAUAUAUCCUCUUAAUUAUAGGUUAACAAACUUCAGUUAAAUCUUGAAACAGUAGAGACAGGUAGAAAUAGGAUCAGAUUAUGUUCAGACCAUCAUAUUAAAAAAGAAACUACAGCAUGCUCUAUGUGCUUUUUGCAAAUGCUUCCAAACCACAGUCAAGCAGCCCAGUCUCAUAAAUAGGUAACUGAAAUGUCUGUGAUGUAGACGUGUACAGUGUAGUCUAAGCAUUAAAAGAUCAUAAAUGACACAGUAACAUUCAUGUAAAACUAAUUUUAAUGACAAAUGAACAGGGACUUUAUAGAUUUUAAAAGAAAGGAUCUGAAAUCAAUACUUUUUAAAACAGUAUCUUGGGGUGUAGGUGGUCAUAAAAAUAGGAAACAUCUGAACAAUUUUCAAUAACAAACUGUAGUGUGCAGCAAUAUUACACAUCUGCCAACAACAAUACAGGUUUCAAAGUUUUUGAUCAAAUGUGUUUGUUAAAGGAAAUUUGUAUCCAUUUGUAUUAAUUCCACUACUGUUUUAUAAAGUGUUUGUACUCUUAUAGUGUUUAGCUUCAUUUAAACUUAGAGUGUGUGUGUACCUGACAUUUGUAGACUAGUAUGAUUGAAACCAUAUGAAGGAAGUUGCUUAACUGAAACUAGGAAUGUUAGCUUAAAAGGAAAAAUAGAGCACAUCAUGUUAAGGUCAAUGAACUCACACAUCCUGUUCCCAAAUCAGGAGAUGUUUUCUUACUUUCUCACUCUGUAUGCUCCACC